This 263-nucleotide ribosomal RNA is filed under the name uncultured bacterium. Its description in RNAcentral is "partial 16S ribosomal RNA". It matches the Rfam family "Bacterial small subunit ribosomal RNA", at positions 32 to 273 of the family's 1533-position model. The record is from RNAcentral.
AAUCAACGCUGGCGGCGUGCCUCAGACAUGCAAGUCGAACGCGAAAGUUCCCUUCGGGGGAUGAGUAGAGUGGCGCACGGGUGAGUAACACGUAGGUAAUCUACCUUCGGAUGGGGAAGUAACAACCGGAAACGGUUGCUAAUACCGCAUAAUGCAGCGGCACCUAAUGGUGACAGUUGUUAAAGCGGGGGAGUCGAAAGACCUCGCGUCUGAAGAGGAGCCUGCGGCGGAUUAGCAGUUGGUAGGGUAACGGCCUACCAAGG